RNAcentral lists this ribosomal RNA (503 nucleotides) under uncultured bacterium. Its description in RNAcentral is "partial 16S ribosomal RNA". It matches the Rfam family "Bacterial small subunit ribosomal RNA", at positions 30 to 523 of the family's 1533-position model. The record is from RNAcentral.
AUUGAACGCUGGCGGCAGGCUUAACACAUGCAAGUCGAGCGGGGUGAUGGUGCUUGCACUAUCACUUAGCGGCGGACGGGUGAGUAAUGCUUAGGAAUCUGCCUAUUAGUGGGGGACAACAUCUCGAAAGGGAUGCUAAUACCGCAUACGUCCUACGGGAGAAAGCAGGGGAUCACUUGUGACCUUGCGCUAAUAGAUGAGCCUAAGUCGGAUUAGCUAGUUGGUGGGGUAAAGGCCUACCAAGGCGACGAUCUGUAGCGGGUCUGAGAGGAUUAUCCGCCACACUGGGACGGAGACACGGCCCCGACUCCUACGGGAUGCAGCAGUGGGGAAUAUUGGACAAUGGGGGGAACCCUGAUCCAGCCAUGCCGCGUGUGUGAAGAAGGCCUUAUGGUUGUAAAGCACUUUAAGCGAGGAGGAGGCUCUUUUGGUUAAUACCCAAGAUGAGUGGACGUUACUCGCAGAAUAAGCACCGGCUAACUCUGUGCCAGCCGCCGCCGUAA